This 444-nucleotide ribosomal RNA is filed under the name Triticum aestivum (bread wheat). RNAcentral describes it as "partial small subunit ribosomal RNA". Lineage: Eukaryota; Viridiplantae; Streptophyta; Magnoliopsida; Poales; Poaceae. The record is from RNAcentral.
AUGGCGAUGGUGUUGGAUGCUUUUGCAUCCUACAUGGGGGACUACCUCAAGCAGGUGGUACAAGAUGAGAUCGGAACGAUGCUGGGCGUCUCCGGAGAGAUCGACAAGUUGGGAGACAAGCUUCUGGACCUAAAGAACUUCCUUGCGGAUGCUGAUAGCAGGAACAUCACCGACAAGACCGUCCAGGUCUGGGUGGGGCAGCUCAAGCGCGCCAUGUAUGAAGCUGCUGACAUCCUUGACCUCUGCCAGCUCAAGGCGAUGGAGAAGCGUGGGCCAUCCUCUGCAGAAGCAGGGUGUUGCAACCCCUUGCUUUUCUGCAUGAGGAACCCCUUCCAUGCUCGUGAGAUCGGCACCCGCAUCAAGGCGCUCAACCAGAGGCUUGAUUCCAUCAAGCAGCGCAGCGCUACUUCCAACUUCAUCAAUCUUGGGUCAUACGAGGAUUGA